This 1199-nucleotide ribosomal RNA is filed under the name Leifsonia shinshuensis. Its description in RNAcentral is "bacterial SSU rRNA". It matches the Rfam family "Bacterial small subunit ribosomal RNA", at positions 140 to 1352 of the family's 1533-position model. Lineage: Bacteria; Bacillati; Actinomycetota; Actinomycetes; Micrococcales; Microbacteriaceae. The record is from RNAcentral.
GGGAUACCUCCGGAAACGGAAGCUAAUACCGGAAUACGACGUACGGAGGCAUCUCCUGUACGUGGAAAGAACUUCGGUCAAGGAUGGACUCGCGGCCUAUCAGGUAGUUGGUGAGGUAACGGCUCACCAAGCCUACGACGGGUAGCCGGCCUGAGAGGGUGACCGGCCACACUGGGACUGAGACACGGCCCANACUCCUACGGGAGGCAGCAGUGGGGAAUAUUGCACAAUGGGCGCAAGCCUGAUGCAGCAACGCCGCGUGAGGGAUGACGGCCUUCGGGUUGUAAACCUCUUUUAGUAGGGAAGAAGCGAAAGUGACGGUACCUGCAGAAAAAGCACCGGCUAACUACGUGCCAGCAGCCGCGGUAAUACGUAGGGUGCGAGCGUUGUCCGGAAUUAUUGGGCGUAAAGAGCUCGUAGGCGGUCUGUCGCGUCUGCUGUGAAAACCCGAGGCUCAACCUCGGGCCUGCAGUGGGUACGGGCAGACUAGAGUGCGGUAGGGGAGAAUGGAAUUCCUGGUGUAGCGGUGGAAUGCGCAGAUAUCAGGAGGAACACCGAUGGCGAAGGCAGUUCUCUGGGCCGUAACUGACGCUGAGGAGCGAAAGCGUGGGGAGCGAACAGGAUUAGAUACCCUGGUAGUCCACGCCGUAAACGUUGGGCGCUAGAUGUGGGGACCAUUCCACGGUUUCCGUGUCGCAGCUAACGCAUUAAGCGCCCCGCCUGGGGAGUACGGCCGCAAGGCUAAAACUCAAAGGAAUUGACGGGGGCCCGCACAAGCGGCGGAGCAUGCGGAUUAAUUCGAUGCAACGCGAAGAACCUUACCAAGGCUUGACAUACACGAGAACGGGCCAGAAAUGGUCAACUCUUUGGACACUCGUGAACAGGUGGUGCAUGGUUGUCGUCAGCUCGUGUCGUGAGAUGUUGGGUUAAGUCCCGCAACGAGCGCAACCCUCGUUCUAUGUUGCCAGCGCGUAAUGGCGGGAACUCAUAGGAGACUGCCGGGGUCAACUCGGAGGAAGGUGGGGAUGACGUCAAAUCAUCAUGCCCCUUAUGUCUUGGGCUUCACGCAUGCUACAAUGGCCGGUACAAAGGGCUGCAAUACCGUAAGGUGGAGCGAAUCCCAAAAAGCCGGUCUCAGUUCGGAUUGAGGUCUGCAACUCGACCUCAUGAAGUCGGAGUCGCUAGUAAUCGCAGAUCAG